CACCGUCCUUUCCUCUUCUUCGCCUCAUCGGAGCUCUCUUUAAUCCACAUUAUUCUCCGUUUUAAAUAACACACCCCCUUUAUUAUUAUUAUUAUUAUAAAUAAUACUACUAAAACUAAUCCCAUUCUUUCUCUCUCCACACAUGAACACACUCUCGCUCUCAUCUUAAGCUCCUGAACACCAGCACCCCCACUACGAACAUAACUACCCAAAAAAAAAAAAACAAAAAACAAAAAAAUCCCCAAACUCCACGGCUACUACUGUACACACAAUGUGGCUUCACCUAUCACUAUCUCUCUCACUUCUCCAGGUGAAGAAGAAGAAGAAGAAGAGAGAGAGCGAGCGCUAGAGCGGUCAGAGGAGUAAUCCCCCUCGCUCACAAGAAUUUUAUAUAUAUAUAUAUAGUUCGUAGGAGGAGGAGAUAGAUCGAGAUCUCACCGGCGAUCAUGGUGGCCGCCGCCGCCGCCGCCGCCGUCGCACCCGCACGAAACCCUUCUCCCCGGGAAGAUCUCGCUCGCCCCCCUCUGAUCCCCUCGGAGAGCAAUGGCGGCGCCGCCGCCUCCGCGGCAGCCGCGGCGCGGCGGCCCCGCGCGAAGGAGAUCGGGUCCCGCUACCUCUCCUCGUUCUCUUCGCCCUCGCCCGCGCCCUCGGCCUCCACUUCGUGCGCGUCCUCGACGUCGUCGUCGUCGUCGUCGAGCUCUUCGCGGCGGCUCCCGUCGCCGGUGCCGGCGCCGCGGCCCUCGGCGACCCCAGCAUUGCCCCAGUCGGCGGCGCCGCGGAGGUCGCACUCCGUGGGCCGCGCCCGCCCCGCCGCGCGGGCGGAUCCGCGGCCGCAGAUCCCCGCCGAGCCCCCUCCCCCGGCCCCGCCGCCGCCCUCCUCCGCCGCCGCGUCGCGCGCUAUCUGCACCACCACGAGGAGCCUCUCGGUGUCGUUCCAGGGCGAGUCCUUCUUCUACCAGACCAGCCGCGCCAAGGCCGCGGGCUCGCCGAAGCCCACCCCCGAGCGGCGGAGGCUCUCCACUGCAGCCGCCGCCGCCGCCGCCGGCGCGGCGUCUUCGAAGGCCGGGGAGCAGUCGGAGAACUCCCGGCCGUCGGAUCGCCACCACCGGUGGCCCGCCGCUAAGCCCCAGGCGUCCAAUCCCCUCGCCAGGAGCUUGGACUAUUCCUUAGAAUCAAAGAACUCGAUCCUGGCGACCGUACACUUGCUGCAACAGUCCAUGGUGUUCGAUGACGGUUUGAGGCGCGCCUCCUCCUUCGAUGCUGACGAUCUCUCUGCAUCGUCGGACACCGAUAGCGUCUCCUCUGGCAGCAAUUCGGGGGCACAAGAUCUCGGGGUGUCGGGACGAGCUAGGGUUUCUCAGAGGGGAAUUAGUGUUCCUGCGAGGUUCUGGCCGGAGACCAGCGGUCGGCUAGGUUUGGUGAAGAGAUCUUCAGUAGAUAGCCCUUUUUCAUCUCCUCGCUCGGCUUCUUCACCUCUCCAUGGACCAGUGAGGGCUUCGUCGCCGUGUAAGGUGAUGGCUUCGCCAUCGAGAGGGAUGGCCAGUCCUUUGCGGGGAAGGAGUGGAUCGGCGGUGAGCACUUCUUCUCCUGUUGGGGUUCAGCCGGCGAAUGCGCCCUCUAUCAUUAGCUUUGCUGUGGAGGUGAGGAGGGCGAAGAAAGGAGAGAACCGGAUCGAGGAAGCGCACGUGCUGAGGCUCUUGGACAACCGGCAUUUGCAGUGGCGGUUUGUGAACGCGAGGAUCGAUGCUCUGUUGCUAGUGCAGAGACUAACUGCAGAGAAAAAUCUUUACAAUGCAUGGAUUAGUGCCUUGAGGUUGCGUGAUUCUGUCACUAGUAAAAGGAUCAAGCUCCAACUUCUGAUGCAGAAUCUUAAGCUAACUUCCAUUCUUAAGGGACAGAUGUCUUAUCUGGAGAGUUGGUCUCUUAUGGAUAGAGAUCAUUCAAACUCUUUAUCAGGAGCUAUUGAAGCAUUAAAAGCUAGCACUCUCCGUCUUCCCGUUGUUGGUGGUGCAAAAGCGGACAUCCAAGAUGUUAAAGAUGCUGUUGGUUCGGCAGUUGAUGCAAUGCAGGCAAUGACAUCUUCAAUGAUAUCUUUGUUGUCAAAGGUUGAAGGGGCAAAUUCCUUGGUGUCUGAACUUGCGAAAGCGGCUUCUCAAGAACUAAAACUGUUGGAUCAAUCCAGAGAUCUCUUGUCCACUGUGGCUGCUUUGCAUGUGAAGCUAUGUAGUCUGCAGGGCCACAUAUUACAACGAAAGUGCAGGUCCAGUAAGCUGUAAUUGUAGAGCAGAUUCUCGUACUGAUCACUAACUUCACAGCGGGCUCUUUUGUUCCCAUGCCAACUGGAGAUUGUCCGAAAGGUCUCUUUGUCAAAUUCUGUAUGGUUUUUCCAACAGAAGAAUAAUGCGACAUGGAUUUCAUCAUCUGCAAAAAGAUGGCAUGACUAUUGAUUCAGCUGCCACGACUGCAUCGUCAUUUAUGUUAUCUAUUAGAGAAGUGCGAAAGUUGAAUUGCCUGCUGUAUAAUCCCUCUUUCAAGAGAAUUAAACCAACUCUGGGGACGAUUCAAUUGAAGUUUCAGUAAUCUAAAUGAAACUUUGAGAUACAAGUUCAGUGACCAAUGUGUAAGCUAAUCUGUUACAAUAGCUUUCUCUAAACUGCACGCGGCGAAAAGAAAUCAGGGGCUAUAUAUGAUUUUGUUCUACAUCAAAACUCUGGUCGAAGUUGA
RNA transcript from Ananas comosus (pineapple), 2724 nucleotides. It is a transcript of the gene named protein SNOWY COTYLEDON 3-like, with no coding region annotated. The transcript has 7 exons. The record is from RefSeq and is a predicted model, not a curated record. Lineage: Eukaryota; Viridiplantae; Streptophyta; Magnoliopsida; Poales; Bromeliaceae.